RNAcentral lists this ribosomal RNA (419 nucleotides) under uncultured bacterium. RNAcentral describes it as "bacterial SSU rRNA". It matches the Rfam family "Bacterial small subunit ribosomal RNA", at positions 360 to 776 of the family's 1533-position model. The record is from RNAcentral.
AAUAUUGGUCAAUGGACGCAAGUCUGAACCAGCCAUGCCGCGUGGAGGAUUAAGGCCCUCUGGGUUGUAAACUCCUUUUAUCUGGGAAGAAAUGUACUUUUUCUUGAGUACUUGACGGUACCAGAGGAAUAAGCACCGGCUAACUCCGUGCCAGCAGCCGCGGUAAUACGGAGGGUGCAAGCGUUAUCCGGAUUCACUGGGUUUAAAGGGUGCGUAGGCGGAUAAGUAAGUCAGUGGUGAAAUCUCCGGGCUUAACCCGGAAACUGCCGUUGAUACUAUUUGUCUUGAAUAUUGCGGAGGUAAGCGGAAUAUGUCAUGUAGCGGUGAAAUGCUUAGAUAUGACAUAGAACACCAAUUGCGAAGGCAGCUUACUACACAAUCAUUGACGCUGAGGCACGAAAGCGUGGGGAUCAAACAGG